RNAcentral lists this long non-coding RNA (206 nucleotides) under Elaeis guineensis (African oil palm). Its description in RNAcentral is "long non-coding RNA (EGUI_LNC038151)". The record is from RNAcentral. Lineage: Eukaryota; Viridiplantae; Streptophyta; Magnoliopsida; Arecales; Arecaceae.
GCACGGCACCACGAGCGAUGGCACUGGUGGCCAAAAGAAGGAGAAAUAAGUCUCGACUAAACUUGGGAGAAACCAAGACAUUGUUUUUGCAGGUUUUCUAGCGAACCCGACGGGUGGUGGCCUUGCGCAAUGUCACAGGAAGAAGAUGAAGUGGGAGAGGAAGAGGGGCUGGGCUUACCUCAGGCUCCGAUGACUUCUCUGGUGGA